GGAAAAAACACUCACCUAAAAUUCAACCGAAGCACUAAAAAAAAGAAAAAAUCUCAUAUUAAUCAUCUCUUUGUUUUCUUGGUUCCAUGUACACAAACCUCAAGGUUUGUUUUUGCUGAUUUUGGGAAUUUGACUUUGGUUUUCCUUUUCUUGAGGAUUUGGACUUCAAGAAAAUAUGGCAAAGGAUAGGCAUAUGGGUGUGGCCUUGGAUUUUUCCAAGGGAAGCAGAUUAGCUCUCAAAUGGGCCAUUGACAAUCUGCUAGACGAAGGUGACACCCUCUAUGUCCUUCACGUCAAGCCCUCACAAGGGGAAGAGUCUCGCAACCUUCUUUGGUCCACUACUGGUUCACCUCUGAUUCCACUGGUGGAGUUUCGUGAUCAGGAGGUGGCAAAAAAAUAUGAGGUUAAACUUGAUCCAGAGGUUUUGGAUAUGUUAGACACCGUCUCUAGGCAGAAACAGGUGAUUGUAGUGGCAAAAAUUUACUGGGGAGAUGCAAGAGACAGAUUAUGUGAGUCCGUAGAGGAUCUGAAGCUUGACUGUCUGGUCAUGGGUAGCAGAGGCCUUGGUUCCAUACAAAGGGCGCUGCUUGGGAGUGUGACCAACUAUGUGAUGACAAAUGCAACUUGCCCUGUGACUGUCGUCAAGGAUCCAAGUGCUCAUGGGUUCUGAUCAAAAUCUGAAUUUGAUCUUGCAGCGAUGAUUUGUGCUUUCCCUUUCUUUGGCUUGUACCUGCUUGUAUUGAAAUGUGAGUGGUUCUGAGUUUCUACCCCUUCACGGGCUAUCUUCAUAUUAUAUAACCUUAUAGUUGUUAUACAAUAUGGUUGGAGACUGUUGUGGCUUUUACCAAGGUUUCAUGUCUUUGAACCUUGCUCAAUGUAGUUUGCUUUCAACUGUUUUGAACUGUAAUUGCGCUAAUAAAUUUUGGGAGCAUGAAGAAGCAGUAAAGUUCUGUAUCAGCUUUGACAGUUCAUCUUUAUAGUGAAAUCUAUUAAAACUAAUUAUGC
RNAcentral lists this unclassified non-coding RNA (1005 nucleotides) under Hevea brasiliensis (rubber tree). Lineage: Eukaryota; Viridiplantae; Streptophyta; Magnoliopsida; Malpighiales; Euphorbiaceae. The record is from RNAcentral.